Molecule: ribosomal RNA, 492 nt
Filed under: uncultured bacterium
Lineage: Bacteria
Description: partial 16S ribosomal RNA
Rfam family: Bacterial small subunit ribosomal RNA
Source: RNAcentral
AGUGAACGCUGGCGGUAGGCCUAACACAUGCAAGUCGAACGGCAGCACAGUAAGAGCUUGCUCUUACGGGUGGCGAGUGGCGGACGGGUGAGGAAUACAUCGGAAUCUACUUUUUCGUGGGUGAUAACGUAGGGAAACUUACGCUAAUACCGCAUACGACCUACGGGUGAAAGCAGGGGAUCUUCGGACCUUGCGCGAUUGAAUGAGCCGAUGUCGGAUUAGCUAGUUGGCGGGGUAAAGGCCCACCAAGGCGACGAUCCGUAGCUGGUCUGAGAGGAUGAUCAGCCACACUGGAACUGAGACACGGUCCAGACUCCUACGGGAGGCAGCAGUGGGGAAUAUUGGACAAUGGGCGCAAGCCUGAUCCAGCCAUACCGCGUGGGUGAAGAAGGCCUUCGGGUUGUAAAGCCCUUUUGUUAGGAAAGAAAAGCAGCAGGAUAAUACCCCGCUGUUCUGACGGUACCCAAAGAAUAAGCACCGGCUAACUUCGUG